RNAcentral lists this ribosomal RNA (492 nucleotides) under uncultured bacterium. Its description in RNAcentral is "partial 16S ribosomal RNA". It matches the Rfam family "Bacterial small subunit ribosomal RNA", at positions 29 to 507 of the family's 1533-position model. The record is from RNAcentral.
AGUGAACGCUGGCGGUAGGCCUAACACAUGCAAGUCGAACGGCAGCACAGUAAGAGCCUGCUCUUACGGUUGGCGAGUGGCGGACGGGUGAGGAAUACAUCGGAAUCUACUUUUUCGUGGGGGAUAACGUAGGGAAACUUACGCUAAUACCGCAUACGACCUACGGGUGAAAGCAGGGGAUCUUCGGACCUUGCGCGAUUGAAUGAGCCGAUGUCGGAUUAGCUAGUUGGCGGGGUAAAGGCCCACCAAGGCGACGAUCCGUAGCUGGUCUGAGAGGAUGAUCAGCCACACUGGAACUGAGACACGGUCCAGACUCCUACGGGAGGCAGCAGUGGGGAAUAUUGGACAAUGGGCGCAAGCCUGAUCCAGCCAUACCGCGUGGGUGAAGAAGGCCUUCGGGUUGUAAAGCCCUUUUGUUGGGAAAGAAAAGCAGCAGGUUAAUACCCCGCUGUUCUGACGGUACCCAAAGAAUAAGCACCGGCUAACUUCGUG